This 255-nucleotide ribosomal RNA is filed under the name uncultured bacterium. RNAcentral describes it as "partial 16S ribosomal RNA". It matches the Rfam family "Bacterial small subunit ribosomal RNA", at positions 524 to 776 of the family's 1533-position model. The record is from RNAcentral.
UACAGAGGUCUCAAGCGUUGUUCGGAUUUACUGGGCGUAAAGGGCGCGUAGGCGGCCACAACAAGUCACUUGUGAAAUCUCCGGGCUUAACCCGGUAGCGGCCAAGUGAUACUGUUGGGCUAGAGUGCGGAAGGGGCAACUGGAAUUCUCGGUGUAGCGGUGAAAUGCGUAGAUAUCGAGAGGAACACCUGCGGCGAAGGCGGGUUGCUGGGCCGACACUGACGCUGAGGCGCGAAAGCUAGGGGAGCGAACGGG